Molecule: long non-coding RNA, 3951 nt
Organism: Sapajus apella (tufted capuchin)
Lineage: Eukaryota; Metazoa; Chordata; Mammalia; Primates; Cebidae
Exons: 2
Source: RefSeq, a predicted model, not a curated record
AUCACACCAUUGCACUCCAGCCUGGGCAAAAAGAGGGAAACUCCAUCUCAAAAAAUAAAAAUAAAGCUCUACAAAAGCUAGUAAUCAUUUUGUAAUGUAAAACGUCCCCUUAGGGUGUUAAAUGCACAUACUUUUUACACCAUUUUAAAAAAUCAAGUCCUACCUGGACAUUGAUCUGUAGCUGAUUACAACCCUGGUGAUAAAAUAAUCCCAAAGUGUUUGAAAGGCUUAGGAGUGUUUUACAAGCAUGUUUGGGGUAGAGCAUGCCUUUUAAGUUUUUGUUCCUCUUUGAGGUACAGUCUGAGUACUGGAGCUGUGUGUGGAAUAUCCUCGUGCUUGAAUCAUUCCACUAAUACAGCGGAGAAAAAACAUUCCCCCUUCAUCUCCCCUCGUCCAUCAUCUGAGGUUCUAGUGUUGAAGUAAGAGCAGUGAAAGCAAGCAAGAGUAAGGAAAGUAAGAACUAAUAUUCACUGGGUGCUCACUAAAUGUUUUGUCUAGUUUUUCCUCACCAUCCAUAGCCCUGUGAGGGAGGUGUAAUGAUUCAUGUUUUUACAAUGAAGGAUCAGAGAAGAAAGCAAGCUGGGGAAACUGAGCAAGAUCAUCUGGCUAGUAAGAAAUUGGAGUUGAAGCCAGGUCUCCCUGACCCAUGAGCCCAAACUUUCAGUGCAUGGGAUAGGUCUACAUUAGCAUUUCUUAACUGCUCUCUCCAAGGAGGUAUUUGGCAAUGUCUGGAGACUUUUUGGCUGUCACAUUGUGGGGAUGGGGUUGGGGUGGGGGUGGAAAUGCUGCCUGGUAUCUAGUGGGGAUAGGCCAAAGAUGCUGUUAACCAUCCUCCAGUGCACAGGACAGCCCCCACAGACAACAAAGAAUGACCCGUCCCAAAUGUCAAUAGCACUGAGGCCAAGAGAGCCCAGUCUGUGUUAAGAACGGGAAGAGGACAGGCCUCCCCCGCAAGUGCAACUUGUUCUUCCGUAGAGUGGCCUAUCUCAUUUCCUGAGAAUCUCUAUAAAACCUAGUUUGAAAAUAAUUUCAGAGCUUUGGAAAACCAGAGACUUCAUAUACAAAAAAGAAAUUAUAUUUGAAAUAAUUAACUUAAACAUCAACCAAGGACAUGGCUGUGACCUUCGUGUGUGUGUGUGUGUGUGUGUGUGUGUGAGACAGAGAGAGAGAGAGAGAGAGAGAGAGAGAGAGAGAGAGAGACAGAGACACAGGGGGGAUCUUAAGGCUUGCAGCAAGUGGAAUGAUACCAUUUGAGUCUUUAAGUCUGAUUUCAAAUAGAGUGUUGGAUUUGGGAUUAGAUAUUUGCCAAAGAUCAACUACUCAGUGUUUAAACGGGUAUUACAUAAAAAGACAAUAACAAAUUUGAUCAGUACUAAGUUCUAAAUCUGUGCUCUGUAUAGUAAAAUUAUACGGGAGAGAGAGAGAGAGAACAAUUUUAAUAGUGACCAUGAACACAAAACUUUUGUGAUUGUGAUGCCAAAUCUCUAUAAACAAGUGAUUGCAUUCUUACCUUAUUUUGCAAUUUCUACCUUUUAUGAUAAGAAAUCACUUCUAGGGGUUUCUUAUACAAAUUUUGAGGAAAAACUCAGAUCCCCUGACUUGGGGCUAUUGGUUUUUCUGCACUCUUUUUAAAACACUUAUUUAAAACUUCCCCUUUUGGAGCCAGAGAGCCAGUUAUUGGUCCUUGCAGCAUGUCAGAUUGUUAAGCAAUUUCUCAGGUUCAAUAAGACAAGAUAUAGUGUGUCCUGCUUCCUAUAAAAAAAAAAAAAAGAAAAAACCACGAGUGUCGUUUGGAGUGUUCCACAUUGACGACUGGCUGAGUGUGUGUGUAAACAACAGCUGCACCUUCCAGCUCUCUCAGGGUUAGACAUUCAAACAUACGAACUUUCAUUCAAGAGCCAUGGCUGGCUCCUAUAGACACUGUCUCCUUACUGGCAACCUUCAGACACAGCCCUUGGGACCAAGGAUGUGGUUGACAUUACCCACGCUGAAGAACAGGAGAUACGGUUGCUACUGGUCUGCAGUCAAGUCUGCAUAUGAUGGGCUAGGGUGCCCGUGUGUGGAUGUGUGCAGCUCCGGUCCGUAUCCAGGGACACAAAUCAUGAUCAAAGUUAAAUUUUUAUCGGGAGUAGCUGAAAAGCACUAUACAUUUCUCAAGUGUGGUGACAAAAAGCAAAAGAGAUUGUGCUGAGGAUCAAAUACUUUAUGCAAAGGAAGUGAAACAGGUUGCAUUUCUAAUUGAUGGGUUUUAACCCAGGCAGUCCUCUGGGCAUAUUUGGUUCCCUUGUCGAAUUUACAGAGGCAUAGUUAAUUCAGAACAGUAUCUGUGGCUGGCCCUCUCCCUGCAUCGCCCUUGAGCCCUCCCCUGGUUCCCAGCCUCUCAGGCUCACAGUGGAGGUGUGCUGCUGAGGAAACAAGGUCAAGCUGGCAGCCAGCACUCAUUUUGAAAGCCAUCCUCCAGUCCUACAGGAGAUGGUCCUUCAGGGCCCUUUGAAGGGCGGGCCUGGUCCUGGCUGUAAAUUGAGUGUCUCCACUUAGACCUUCUCAGUGAAAGAUGUUGGUCCUCAUCAGAACUGAGGUACUCACCUCUGCCUGUGCGCCCUGCACAGAGUGGUCCUGCUGGCCUUUGGUGGUCCAUUGCAGUGGCUGGGUUUGUGCUUAGUUAUGAGGGGUUCCACGAACAUCUUUCACCCUAUCACAUCCCGUAAGCACCAGUUCAAUAAACAUUGAAAAUGCCAGUAGGAAAAGCCUCACAAAUGCUGUACAAACAGGGGAAGGUUAAGUCAAAGUGGGGACAUGAUGGCAAAUGUUGCAGAACCUCAUUGGAGCAGUGCAUUCGGUGGUAUGUAUUAUUCCAGAAUACAGAGAGCAAAUUGGUGCUGUCCUACCCAAGUGCUCUAUACCCACCAGCCUGCAAAAUAGCUGACCUGAGAGAAGUAGAGUGACAUUUAGGGAGCAUCAAUUCAGAUGGCUCUUGGCUUGGAGAGGGUCACAGAGCCUAGUAGCUUUGUGGACUUGCAGGCAGCCCCAAAAGCUCACCUAUAUGCAAAGUCAGCAUGGCCUCCCUCCCCUAGUAUUGUGAUCAGCUGCAUCUCUGUGGCCAGGGCUCUUGCUCGUCAUUCAGUCUGAUGUCUGAGUGGUUCUACCUUUUCUACAUGCUGAGACCAUAUUCUAGUGCUGUAUUCUGGAGGUACACCCAGUAGAUUCAAAGUAUUCUCAUAGAACAAAGAGACUUGUAUAGUAACCUUUGCUGCAUCCACAGUAUACUCCACAGAGGCCUCUGAGCUAAAAAUGAAUGCAGAAGCAAGAAGGGAACAGGUGAUGUUCAGCUUUCAGAUCCCACAUGACAUUUAUUUGGCUUGGGGUGCCCCCUUCCCCCCAUUCCCUGGCUGUGGGCUCAUGGAUUGGAAGAGCCUGGUUAUGGCUUCCAUUUUACUUCCAUUUUCCAAUAUCCAGAGGAAUGUACAAGCUACCAGAAAAUCAUGCUCAGGCAUCCCUUUGUCACAUUAAAAGCAUUAUGGACACAUGACAUUUUAUUAAGUAUUUUGUUUUAGUAUUACUUUAUUAUGUAAAUUAUCAAAAUCCUUAUUUAGCCAUGGACUCUUAUUAAAGCAUGGUCUUGGAAACCUUGGCCAAGGUUAAGAGCCUGCAAAGUUUGAUUCAUUACAAAAGAAAAAUGAUUAGCAGUUAGAGAGUGACAUUGAUGGGCCCCAUUAAAAGAUCAUUGGAUUUAGUGGUGGCAAGCGAAGGUUGGAGUUCGAGGUUAGCAGGAUGCCCUGAUUAGAACCAAGCUUACCUUUGUGUAACCUGUAGUGACACUCUCUUCGUCUCCCCAGGCUGAUUCAUGUCUCCCUGAAGUUCAUACUGUUUGGAAUUUCACAGACUCAUUUACCAAAAAAAAAAAAAGGCAUUUAAUUUGGGAGACUGCUUGAUUUUUCUUUUAUUAAUGAU